RNAcentral lists this long non-coding RNA (652 nucleotides) under Gossypium raimondii (Peruvian cotton). RNAcentral describes it as "long non-coding RNA (GRAI_LNC001777)". Lineage: Eukaryota; Viridiplantae; Streptophyta; Magnoliopsida; Malvales; Malvaceae. The record is from RNAcentral.
AAGGCCUGAGUCAGAAACCUCCGAUGGAUCCAGGCAGCAAGCAGCAGUGGCUCAUAGCGGAAUGUUGCCCCGGGCAGUAAUAUCUCAGCAGCAGAAUCAAUUCCAGCCAUCUGGACCUGGCAUGCACGACCAACCACCACCUAUGCAGUACUUUAAUAUCCCACCUCCACCUCAGAUGGAUAGAGCCUACUAUCCAUCAAUGGACCCUCAAAGAAUGGGUGCUCUGGUUCCGUCUCAGGACGGGGAGAACAAACCCGGAUCAGAUAAACAACAAGCACAACACUAUCCUUACCAAGGUAUGCCGCCGCCGCCACCUGGACAAUAUCCUCAUCAACAUUAUCCGCCAUAUGGGUACAUGCAACCAAUGCCACCUUAUCAACAGUAUCCACCAUACCAUUCAGCAAUGCCUCCACCUCGAGGCCCACCUCAACAUUAUCAACACCCUGGACCUCCAAGACCUUCACCACCUGUGAGUGCACCAGCUUCAACAAGCGCGCAACCACCACCAGCAUCUACUUCAUCAGGCUCUGCCCCACCACCACCACCACCGGCGCCCGUCCCAUCUGCUGCUGCAUCUGGAUCUUCUCAGCUAUGAAGGUUUUCCCGUACUGUUUGUUUUUGAUAAUGUAAGCAUAAAACUUUUUAACCCCCG